UGGGGAGAGCAUGAAUCAGAAGAGGGACAAGACAUAGCUGAUAUGAUCCACACCCAACCUGUGGUUGCAGCGCUUCGAGUCCGAGUGACAUCUUACCAUGCCAUGCAUCUAUCCACCAAAUUCUCCAGCAGCAUACUAAUCAAUCCUCCAAUUCAGCAAGCCAAUGACCUGCGUAACUGGUGCAGUCACAAUCAAGAGGAAAUCACGCGUUUCAUUGCUGAGCGGACUUAUGGUGAUCGUCUCAAACUCCUACCUGUACCAGA
Coffea arabica (coffee) is the source of this 263-nucleotide non-coding RNA. The record is from RefSeq and is a predicted model, not a curated record. NCBI's taxonomy places the organism in Eukaryota, Viridiplantae, Streptophyta, Magnoliopsida, Gentianales, Rubiaceae.